CCGCUCCGAGCGAGACCUUCCAAGUUCUAACUGCAAAGCUGCACGCGGCGCCGCCGGCCGUGGCGUAAAACUCGCACUCCACCACACCACGGCGGCGCCAACACCCCCGCCUCCCGGCCUGCACCUUCUCACCGACCACUCAUCGUGCACCUCUGCGCGCUUUACCCCGAUCGACGCACUCCCCGAAUCCUCUAGGGUCGCCCCUACCGCCGCCGCCGCGGCCGGAUCGGCCUCCCGAUUCACGAUUGCCUUCGACGCCAUCGAGAUUCCGGGCCCUACAUGUGACGAUGCGCAUCCCGGCCGUGCAUUAGAUCGCAGCAAAGGGUGGGCGGGCUGCCUGGGCCUGCACGCGUGAUGCGCCCAUCCAGAGUCGUCUGCUCUCACGACGGCGCGCUACGUGUUCGACGAAAUAGGUGAUCAGCCUGCGGUGUAAUUCAGGGCAUGUCGACCAAGUUGAAAGUUGCCCAUCUCUUCUUCUUUUUUUCGAGCAACCGGUGGGAGCGCUGCCUUUUCAAUUAGAAGAAAUGGAGCAAGCAUUUACAUUUGUGAAGCAUACACAUCAUUGGAUAUUCAUCGCUGCCAAAAACAAGAAUAUAGAUAUAGGAAAUAGGAGGCACUGUAGUAGGAUGCGAGAUAAUGAGCACAGUUCUGCGUAGGCCUUCCUAACUCAGGGAAUGAGUCUUCCAGGCCUUCAGUGAUCAUUGACAAUCCAAAGAAGGCAAUAACUGGUAUACUUCUGUUCAACUGUAACUUCCAAUUCCAAGGGACGAGACUGUUUCUCAUGGUACUGGAGAAUCUGGCUGAGUGAUAUAAUGGAUAUCGAACAUAACCCAAGUUACUGGAGACGGGCACACUCAGCAUCACAUCAGUCACUCUACCCAAUUUACCUGACAUGUCUCUUCUUCUGUUUUCUAACUGAGGCUGGAGCGUCUUUAAUCAACCGGCUAUUUGGUUUUCUUGUACGCAUGCGGAACACAACACCGGUUGCUGUAGACGGGCCGCGCUCGCAUCACAUCGGUCGUUCAGGGUGCAUCACAUGGGCGCCUGUCCUGACGGGAGCUCCUGACGGAGCAUGCAUGACCAUUAUAAGCUCAUGUUGAAACUAAUUAAGUUUCUGUUUGCAUGCAGAAGAGAGAAAACGACACUUCCUGAAGACGCAUUGGAUCUAUCACCAACAAUAGCGACAGGCGCGGCAGUGCUGCAGCAGCAACGUCAAAAACGAUACCAUUGGACAUUAAAAGCUUCAACGCAGGACACUCUCAUAUGAUAACCUGCACUGAGACCACUUGCUUAAAAGAAGCGGCGCUAUGCGCCAGGAUGCCAGCAACCUGCUGCAAUAUGAGUCGACUCCAGCAGAUGUGAGCAACAUCUUCUCACUUUCAUGGAGUGGUGCAUAUGCUAAUUCAAUACCGGCCAUGAGACUUCAAAAUAAUUUACACCUCGGUGAGUACUCCAGCCUGACUACUACUCUCUUGUGAAAGAAUUAACUUGAGUCUCGUAUCUGCUACUUCCUCUGAUCCCCCGUAAGUUUCUCAAAUUUAAUACAACUUUGUACUAAAUGUGAGACACUUCUUAUGAAUCAGAGGGAACAGUAAUCUUUUAGAUGAAAGGUAUGCAUCGCUGCACGUCUUUAAAUUAAUAAUUAAUAAAGCCUGAAAUGGCUAAACAGAGUUUUCUCAUACUUCCUCUGUCCAACAAAGGAUGUCUCAAUUUUGACUAAAUUUGAAUGCAUCUAUACACUAUGUCAUGUCUAGUUAUAUCUAAAUUAUGACAAACUUGAGACAUCUUUUGUUGGACGGAGAGAUUAUAUAUUCUCUGCGUAGCCUAAUGGAUAGUCUCCAUUAAUUUUGAGAACAAUCACAUGUAGCAUCGCUGCCUUGUCUGAUCAUUAGACAUUUACAGAAGAUGUGAUAUGAUGAUCCUCCACCAGCCUGACAUCUCGCAUACCUUAUUUAGUGCUAAACUCUAGGAUAGACAACAUGCCGAGGGGCUGGCUAGCUAGCCACUCCACUUAGGCACAUAGCCGUACGUGAUCCAAGCUAGCAGGAUUUGCUUUCGUAUGCUAGCAGUACGAACACCAUCUUGGAUGGGAUCGAGUGUUGGGAAAUAAUUAUAGG
Long non-coding RNA from Brachypodium distachyon (stiff brome), 2117 nucleotides. RefSeq lists it as uncharacterized. The transcript has 7 exons. The record is from RefSeq and is a predicted model, not a curated record. Lineage: Eukaryota; Viridiplantae; Streptophyta; Magnoliopsida; Poales; Poaceae.